GGUUGCGGCGGAGUCGGCGGUGUGGAGGCCAUGAUGAAGACGGCAGCCGGACCUCGGGCAGGAGCGCGCACGCACGAUGGGGAUUUUGGGGGCAACCUGAUACAUCACUGUAUAUUGGACUCCAUUGACAUGCACCUUUUGAACUCUUCACGCGCUGGUUUUUAUAUUGAGCCUAUUGUGAUUUCACAUUGAUGUCAGAGAACUUGUAAGGGUAGAUGCCCUUGACCAAGGUGAGUCACCAGUCAUGAAGCCCCCUGAUCUGGCUGACAUCCUUGUCACAGUCAAGAGCACUUUAACCAGAGCCAACAGGCUGAGUGGUGACUCAAGGUGCAAGCAGUUUACCCCCCCAGACUGAGACAUGCAAUCAGAAACCAGCGGCUCCUCUGUUUUUGUCUUUUUAUCUAUGUUUGGUCUAACAUGCCGGAUGAAGACAAAGAAGAAAAACAGUGUCCAACAGAUUCUGAAGCUUUCUAGCCUUCAAACAAUAAUAAAAAACAUGUGUAUAUUACAAAUGCAAAAUUAAUGCUAGGCUGGGAAUCCCCUAUGCAAGGAUAACAUGGAACUUUGAGUGUUAUUGUGCCUCACCUGGACGGGUGCAGGUGGUUACAAUCGUAAACCACAAAUGCAUUUGAAGUGGGACACGUAACAUCAGGAGAACAAGAGAGAGCUUGAUCCCCUCACUGCCACCACAUGAAACAUAAAUCCACGUCACAAGUUUGGCAAUCAAUUGAACCGCAGUCAUAACUCUGGUAACAUACAUGGGAAGUUCCAUAGAUAUUUUUUUUCCACAAUGUUGCUAACAAUCAAAUGAAAACAAGAUCUUCUAACUUGACACUUGUGUGACUUUUGGGGAAAAAAAGAAAAGACGUCAUGUACUGCGUUGUCAAUGACCGAGGUUUUAUCUGAUUAUAGGGGUCUUGUGUCUUUGAAGGGUUACAUCAAGAAUCAUGUUGACUGAUUACUGACGUCGUUUUUAAACUGUGGGAAAACCAGAAUGAGGUCCAUAUUGCUUUAGGCAAUGUAAUUCUAGUGAAAGACAAAUCCUAUUUACUUCUGGUUAGAAAUAUUUUGUGGUGAAUGACUACAAAGAGGACAUGUUGCUUCAUGAUGUUGCCUCGUGGGCGUAUUGGCCUCUUAUUAAGCAAACGUCACCUCGGGGCUAAGAUUUGUUCACAGCAAAAACUUUGUAAUUACUGACCUUCACAUGAAUUUAAAUCUCACUGUGCAGAACAACAAUAUUGGAAAAAAAUGAAACCGAUACUACACGUUCCGUUGGAUUCGACAUGCAGCCACUAAAUUCUUACCAUAAAACAGACCAACAAUCUGAAACUUCAAUUAUUAGAACUUGACCCUCCCCUUGAGGCUAACAUCUCUCCUGGAUCCGCUCGAACUUGUCUGGAGCAGAAAAGGAAAGAAACAGAUUCCGUCUGUAUGAGGGUGAUGCUGAUAAAGCUUCCAAAUCAACAAGCAAACUUUCCAUAAGCAUAAACGAAGGAUUCUGUUUAAGGCCCAACGAUUUGAUAGGUCACAGUUCAGCAGUGGAGCUUCAAAUGAGGCCUGGCAAGGAUCCACCCUCACGGUUCAACGGCCAGGCAGCACAUUAGCUCCAUGACACUCCUACUUCCCCAAGCCGCACUAUGGAAAAAUUCAAGUGGACACCGUUCCAGUCCCUUGUGGUCCUGGCAGGAGGAAAAUCCAUCGGAUAAACAUGCAGUAAAACCUCAAACGAGGUAUUACAGGCUGUGAAGGGAAAUUGGAUUCCGGGGGCACGUAGCAUUCUUGCUGGGUUGGCAGGGAGGACAGAUGAGGCAGCCCGCACGUCCAUCCGUCUGCUUGAUUGGAAACAGGCCUCGUUAAGUGGCCGUCCAGUUACGUGUGCGAUGAGCAGGUGACGUGCGUCGUCGCCAAGCCAGCCGCACGCACGUCCAUCAUCAUCCCCGCUAUCCUGCGGCGAGCUCUGGCUAGAUUUCAUUUUGCAGUCAUUAGCGUGUCACUUCCUGUUUCAAUCACCACGGCAGGCCCGUUGAAGAUAAAAAUCUGUUUUUUUUAUUUCAUUAAUAAAAAUACAUUAUGAUUUUAAUCGUGGACAUGAUACGGGCAAGUAUUAAAAGUCUACACACCCCUGAUAAAUCUGAUAUUUGAGCAGGGGUGUGUAGACUUUUUAUAUCCACUGUAUGUGAUCAUUUAUGCAUGAUGUAUAAUAGCAAACAAGAUUAGUAGUAAAAAAAAAAAUUAAAAACCUCAAAGAAUCCUGUUUAAACUCGCCUCUUUUAUCGUAAUUAAUAUUCAUUAGUUUACUUUGGAACUAUUCCCCGCUCGUUCCAUCUGUCACACCAAAAAUAAUUACCAGCACAGAGAGAGCGAGAGGGAAAAAAAAGUCUCUCAAUAUUUUUCUUCAUAUCUUCCUCUAGUGAGCUCAUUUGCAUGUUAUAAUCCUGCCAUCUGUGAAACCAAAUAUGGAAUUAUUUGCUCUGUGACCAGCAAAAUGAAAGCAGAAUAAUAAUAUCCAAUCCGGCAAAGGGGAAAUGUAAAAAAAAAAAAAUGAUUGGAGUGUUGAGCUUCUCCUGGGAGCAAUGACAGUAGUGUUUACUCUUAGAGGAAAGUUCAAAUCAUUAGCAAGUCUUUGUUAAAGUAAACCGGAGCUUGAGAUGAAGGUUGUCCUACAGAAAAUUAAGUGCAAGCACAAACACAAAUAUGUAAACACUUCCUCAAACAGCAGAGCAAAUGUCAGUCGAAAUGCAUUAUUAUUAUUAUGAUUGAAAAAUUCCUCCACAUUACUCCAGGUCAGCUUUUGCUUUUUCAGGUGGAGCUACAGACAGUCGCUGAGGUCAGACGGAGACGCUCGGUCUCCUGGACUCACUGCUUCCUGUCCUGGUGGAGAUUAUGAGAUGUAUUGCUAUACAUCUGUGUUUGUGUGUGAGCUGGGGUGAUCCUCUCAUGGCAUGGUGAUGACACAACCCUGUGGGUGGUCACCAACUGCUCAACCAGUUAAGCCGCACCAAAGGUGAUAGGAGUCAACAGGCAGUGUUAUUUCAUGGCAGAUUAAGCACAGUUGAGAAAUAAAACUUUUGCUCUUCUUGUUUACCCUCCUCCUCCUUCCAAGCACAUCCCCGGUUCCGUGCCAACCCUGAUGAAUGAACGCACAUUAAAUCAUGUGUGAAAUUCUGGCCGGUAUUUGUCAUGGGAUUAAGCGCACAUGUGUCAUGUCUGCAGUCACACAACUAAAGAUGGAGACGCCAUGUUGCUCCUCAACUUAAUAGUGGUCUACAUGUCCCUAAGGAUUUUUUUUAAACAAUUGCUACCUGAUAUCUGUUGUGUUUUAAGUGGAUGCUUCUCAGGUUACAUUCAACUGUGGGUGAGGUAUUUUGUUCCUCGCUUUCCCACACCACAUUGGAGUAUAUUCUGUCAUGCGUGGAAACGAAACACUUCAAUCCGCCCCGAAGAGAUGGUAAAAUGACAUAAGCUCAUUUUACCUGUGAGGAUGUCAGGAUGUCGCUUUCAGUUUUUCCAUCCAUCGGCUUUGCGUCAGGAAAUAUAUUUGUAAUCCUGUUAGAAGAGACCAGAAACACGCAGUAAAUAUUUUUCAAACCCACUUGAGAAUUGAAGUUCAAAAUGUUGCUAUAGUCAAAAUAAAAACUAUGUUGUAGUUUGAAUUCAUGUUUUCCAUCUGCUGCAUUGAUAUAAUUGACUUAAUGUGGGACCAGAUGAGUCAUCAAUGGCCCGGGAUGGCUUAGCACUAAUGAUCGGCAGCUUCGAAAUAAUCUCAUUUGCGUUGGGUUACUGAAUCAGACUUUCCGACAAGGAUUUUACAUUCUGAUCUAUGUAACUGCUUUUUUUUUUUUUAGCCAAAUAAGACCAAGGCUAACCAAAUAGACAUUAAUUAUUCUCAAUUAAUCACAUCUAGUACAGUGGUUUGUCUUGUUUCUAAGACAACGUCCUAAAUCGGAACACAACAUUGUUUUUAUCAUUAACAUGAGCUAAUGUAAUUAUAAAGUCAAAAUUACAGAAAAUAUUUGAUUGAAAAACACUUCUGGGUCAUGAAUAUAAAGUAAGCAAAUGAAAAACAGGAAGAGAAGAAUAAUUUGAUGGUGACAAUUUAUUCCCAAGACACUCCACAAACAAAACAAAUGCUUUAUAAGUGAGGAAGUGUCUCAGUAUGCUAAGAGAUUCAUUUCAAGCCUGGUCUCGAAAUGAAAUAUUAUCAUAUGCAGAAUGAUGGGCCGAAAAAAAAAUCAUUGGAAAUCAAUGAGACCUCUGUAGAAGGAAUACAAGAACCAGUAAGUGGAAAGCCAGUCCAGACAUGUCAGGAAAAACAAAGCAUCAUCUGUUUGGGUGUUUUGAAGAGAUAACAACUGCAAGGGGCCAGGCAUGAAUCCCUGCGGGAUCCCAAAUGCUAAAGCAGCUCUCCUCUGUUGAAGCUCAAACUAAUAUUUCAUUGAUUUUUCCUCAGCGCUGUGACAAGUUAGGGAACAGGUUUAGAAGACAGACAUCAGAGGUCCGACUCGAUUGUGGCAGGAGUGGAAAAGGGUUUGAGGUUUUCAUGCCGGGGGGGAAAUGCAGUCUGGCAGCGCUAUGCUAACGGGGAUCGUCAAGUUUGGAAGCAGCUGCCUUGACCCACUUCUCCUUUGCUUGCGACUCGGGAUUUGAUGCGCUGAAAUGUGCCAAGCAGGCGGGAAACAGCUCUAUUUUUUUAAUUUUUUAUUUGGGGACGGCUUACAUUUUUGGCCUCAACUUGCAGACAGGCGGUGGAAUCAAAUGACAAGUUCACAUUUGGAUGUUUUGUAAUUUGCCUUUCACAUUUAAUUUAACAACAUGUUCAUUGUGUAUAUGUAUUGCGGUUGUAAUUUAGAGCGAUGUAGAAUUGUGUUACAAUUUUUUUUCCCCUUGCCUUAAAACAAACACAACAGCUCCUGACAAAAUUGUGCAAUAACAUUCAGUCUGUACUCGUUUUUCCGACUUAGAACGGAAGCGCCAUUAAUCAUGUAAUUGAAACCUCAAGUUUAAUUUUACCCAGUACGAUCUCAUAUUUCUUCUGCAAAACACUCCUUUGUGCUUUCCAACCUAAAAAAAUCCCUCGCUGAAUUAUCUUCAAUAUUGAGCUGUU
This is a long non-coding RNA of Syngnathus acus (greater pipefish), 5104 nucleotides long. RefSeq lists it as uncharacterized. The transcript is spliced from 6 exons. The record is from RefSeq and is a predicted model, not a curated record. Lineage: Eukaryota; Metazoa; Chordata; Actinopteri; Syngnathiformes; Syngnathidae.